AAGAUAACCAGGGUCGGGUGGUUUUCCCGGGGCGAGGCUCAUCCAUUGCACCCUAGAUGAGCUGACCCCAGCGAUUUCCCCAGAUGUGGAUAACUCGGUUGCGUAAUUUGUGGUAGUGGGGGACUGCGUUGGUGCUUUCCCCUG
This is a small nuclear RNA of Capra hircus (goat), 144 nucleotides long. Its record names the gene U1. It matches the Rfam family "U1 spliceosomal RNA". From Rfam's summary of the family: U1 is a small nuclear RNA (snRNA) component of the spliceosome (involved in pre-mRNA splicing). NCBI's taxonomy places the organism in Eukaryota, Metazoa, Chordata, Mammalia, Artiodactyla, Bovidae. The record is from Ensembl.